UCCUGCCUGGUCACUGGCCAUCAGUGUUUUAUUUAUAUAUAGAGCAAUAUCCACAGCAACUGACACAGAAUAUCAACACUACAGUGCACAGAAGCUGGAGCCCACCGUAGUUGGUAAUUUCAACCACUGGGAAACCACUGCCCCACUAGCCCUCUAGGAGGCAGCCAACAAGAACAGCUGAAAGGGUGAAGACAUCAGCGGCUGCCAAUCUAUCAAGAUUCAGCUACCGCUGCGAACCCAUCAGCUCCGUAGAAGGAAAAAAGGAACCCCUCGCCACAGCAAUUAUUUAUCCUGGCCUGAACUUCAGGUGACCUUUCCAGUUCCACAGAAGUUGCAGUUGGGAGCACCUUGAAAGAUCUUUGGGUGGUCCAUCCAUUGUGACAAGAGUACAGCACUGACUUGGCGAGGCAGUAAACCUCACCACUCCCUACCCUGCCCUCCCCACCCUGCCCUCUCCCCAAUCACAACGCUGUCGCCUGUCACCUGUCACCUGUGACCCUGCGACCUCCCCAGAGAUGGUUCAGAGAAGACCCCAGACAGCCCAGCUUGCAUCAGAAUGUCAACAAGGGCUGUUCUGUGCCAGAGGAUCCACUGUGACCCUGUGUGAUGCAGUGUCCUAAACUCUGAGAGUGUGUGUCCCCAAGUGGGAGGAAAAUCCAGGCCCUAAUAAGGGCUCUGCAGGGUGUAACUCCCUGUGUAAAUUUAAAGUGAGCUAAGGGACAUCAUUAUAUAAAUCUCAUCAUGAGACAAUAUACUUUUUAUUUGUUUGAAUUUUAUUUGUAUUGGUAAAACUGACCUGAAACUGACACAAGUUUAUUAGAAAAAGGGACUCCGUAAAAGCGAGUGGGCUGGUCUUCUUAUUUAAGAUGGAUGUGCCAACUUCUAGUAUGAUUAGAGAAAUGGAUAACUCACUAACAUCUGUGCAAACUACAAUAAAAAGGGAUUUAGUGUUACCCCAA
This is a non-coding RNA of Peromyscus maniculatus bairdii (prairie deer mouse), 959 nucleotides long. The record is from RefSeq and is a predicted model, not a curated record. NCBI's taxonomy places the organism in Eukaryota, Metazoa, Chordata, Mammalia, Rodentia, Cricetidae.